GGCUUAGAACUAACGCUGGCAGUGCGUCUUAAGCAUGCAAGUCAAACGGGAUGUAGCAAUACAUCUAGUGGCGAACGGGUGAGUAACGCGUGGAUGAUCUACCUACGAGAUGGGGAUAACUAUUAGAAAUAGUAGCUAAUACCGAAUAAAGUCAAUUAAUUUGUUGAUUGAUGAAAGGAAGCCUUUAAAGCUUCGCUUGUAGAUGAGUCUGCGUCUUAUUAGUUAGUUGGUAGGGUAAAUGCCUACCAAGGCGAUGAUAAGUAACCGGCCUGAGAGGGUGAACGGUCACACUGGAACUGAGAUACGGUCCAGACUCCUACGGGAGGCAGCAGCUAAGAAUCUUCCGCAAUGGGCGAAAGCCUGACGGAGCGACACUGCGUGAAUGAAGAAGGUCGAAAGAUUGUAAAAUUCUUUUAUAAAUGAGGAAUAAGCUUUGUAGGAAAUGACGAAGUGAUGACGUUAAUUUAUGAAUAAGCCCCGGCUAAUUACGUGCCAGCAGCCGCGGUAAUACGUA
RNAcentral lists this ribosomal RNA (514 nucleotides) under Borreliella bavariensis. Its description in RNAcentral is "bacterial SSU rRNA". It matches the Rfam family "Bacterial small subunit ribosomal RNA", at positions 21 to 529 of the family's 1533-position model. The record is from RNAcentral. Lineage: Bacteria; Pseudomonadati; Spirochaetota; Spirochaetia; Spirochaetales; Borreliaceae.